CUGAUCCAGCCAUGCCGCGUGUGUGAAGAAGGCCCUCGGGUUGUAAAGCACUUUCAGCGAGGAAGAACGCCUAGCGGUUAAUACCCGCUAGGAAAGACAUCACUCGCAGAAGAAGCACCGGCUAACUCCGUGCCAGCAGCCGCGGUAAUACGGAGGGUGCAAGCGUUAAUCGGAAUUACUGGGCGUAAAGCGCGCGUAGGUGGCUUGAUAAGCCGGUUGUGAAAGCCCCGGGCUCAACCUGGGAACGGCAUCCGGAACUGUCAAGCUAGAGUGCAGGAGAGGAAGGUAGAAUUCCCGGUGUAGCGGUGAAAUGCGUAGAGAUCGGGAGGAAUACCAGUGGCGAAGGCGGCCUUCUGGACUGACACUGACACUGAGGUGCGAAAGCGUGGGUAGCAAACAGGAUUAGAUACCCUGGUAGUCCACGCCGUAAACGAUGUCGACCAGCCGUUGGGUGCCUAGCGCACUUUGUGGCGAAGUUAACGCGAUAAGUCGACCGCCUGGGGAGUACGGCCGCAAGGUUAAAACUCAAAUGA
This 533-nucleotide ribosomal RNA is filed under the name Halomonas sp. RNAcentral describes it as "bacterial SSU rRNA". It matches the Rfam family "Bacterial small subunit ribosomal RNA", at positions 383 to 908 of the family's 1533-position model. The record is from RNAcentral. Lineage: Bacteria; Pseudomonadati; Pseudomonadota; Gammaproteobacteria; Oceanospirillales; Halomonadaceae.